RNAcentral lists this ribosomal RNA (195 nucleotides) under uncultured bacterium. RNAcentral describes it as "partial 16S ribosomal RNA". It matches the Rfam family "Bacterial small subunit ribosomal RNA", at positions 338 to 524 of the family's 1533-position model. The record is from RNAcentral.
CCUACGGGAGGCAGCAGUGGGGAAUCUUCCGCAAUGGACGAAAGUCUGACGGAGCAACGCCGCGUGAGUGAAGACGGCCUUCGGGUUGUAAAGCUCUGUUAAUCGGGACGAAAGGUCCGCUUGUGAAUAAUGAGUGGAAUUGACGGUACCGGAAUAGAAAGCCACGGCUAACUACGUGCCAGCAGCCGCGGUAAU